CACGUAAAGGGACAGAGAUUGGGGGACAGAAGGAAGUGCAUUAAUUCCUUCCACGACCCCUGAAGAGCAGCGGUGGGUCUGAGCAUGCUAUCUCCAUGAAGCAGGCCAGCAGGCAAGCCAGCUGCCACCUCGUCCUGUGCAAAGCACAGGCACCGUCCCCAAAAGAUUUCCAAAGAUGAUGUUAAACCCAGCCAUGGUUCUCAUCUCCAGGAAAGCAAUUGCUGUGGUACAAAAGGACAAGGGUUAAAAGAGAACAGUGGGAGCUCUCUUUCCCAACUAACUCCAGGUGUGACGCAGAGGCUUUCAGCACAGGCCAGGGUGCCCGGGACUGAAAACUCCUUCACCAACCCCUCCACAGACAGAGUCUUACACUGUUACCCAGGCUGGAGUGCAGUGGUGUGAUCUCGGCUCACUGCAAACUCCGCCUCCCAGUGUGUUAGCCAGGAUAGUCUCAGUCUCCUGACCUUGUGACCACCUGCCUCAGCCUCCCAAAGCACUGGGAUUACAGGCGUGAGCCACCGCGCCAGGCCUAUUUAAGCUGAUUCUUUAAGG
Molecule: small RNA, 552 nt
Filed under: Pongo abelii (Sumatran orangutan)
Lineage: Eukaryota; Metazoa; Chordata; Mammalia; Primates; Hominidae
Description: retained intron
Source: RNAcentral